GUUUUAAUGCUCCAGUCUUCCCAUAUCCACACCUUUGCUUCCUUUACAGUGAACUGCACUCGCAGCAACAGCAACAGCAGCAGCAGCAGCAACAGCAGUGCAGCAGCAGCAACAGCAGGGCAGCAGCAGCAA
Molecule: microRNA precursor, 132 nt
Filed under: Mus pahari (shrew mouse)
Lineage: Eukaryota; Metazoa; Chordata; Mammalia; Rodentia; Muridae
Description: miRNA (MGP_PahariEiJ_G0007191.1)
Source: RNAcentral